Molecule: transfer RNA, 76 nt
Filed under: Hypselotriton orphicus
Lineage: Eukaryota; Metazoa; Chordata; Amphibia; Caudata; Salamandridae
Description: tRNA-Lys
Source: RNAcentral
UCAUUAAGAAGCUUUCAUGGAGAAAGCAAUAGCCUUUUAAGCUAAAGACCGGUGAAAACCAACCACCCUUAAUGAC